UUCUAGCCCCGAUUGAAGUGUAAAGCCCGGAACAAAAAAAGGGAGUGGUUCUUGGCAAAAAAAAGCGACCAAAGAAGCUCUUUUUUUGCCUUAGAACCACCCCUUUUUUUGUGAGGACUUGAAACGAAAAGCGGGAAUAGCU
Molecule: small RNA, 142 nt
Filed under: Flavobacterium branchiophilum
Lineage: Bacteria; Pseudomonadati; Bacteroidota; Flavobacteriia; Flavobacteriales; Flavobacteriaceae
Description: Flavo-1 RNA
Rfam family: Flavo-1 RNA
Source: RNAcentral